CGUUUACUUGUGAUAUUUUUUACCGGAAGUGACAAAUUUCUGAAUAAAAUACCCCGAGGGUUUCAAAGAAAUGAUACAUUAUUUCAAACCAUGAAUACACAAUAAUAUUAUAGUCUACACAGCAAACUUUGGCUACCAGCUGUGAGAUUUGAAUAACCAUUAAUCAGUUAUCAAAUGCAUGUCCGCCAUUUUGAUGAUAAAACCGGAAGUGGAUAAAAUCAAGCUUGCCUCCAUAUCUAAUUUUGUUUAGAAUGGUCCAAACUAUGUUUCUACCAAAUUUUAUGCUUUUAAAUCAUAGUGCACAAUUGUUCACCUAUCUGCUGGGUAACCAUUAAUCAGUUAUCAAAUGCAUGUCCGCCAUUUUGAUGAUAAAACCGGAAGUGGAUCAAAUCAACCUUGCCUCCAUAUCUAAUUUUGUUUAGAAUGGUCCAAACUAUGUUUCUACCAAAUUUUAUGCUUUUAACACAAAGUGCACAAUUAUUCACCUAUCUGCUGGACUAAUAGUAUU
RNAcentral lists this long non-coding RNA (508 nucleotides) under Mytilus galloprovincialis (Mediterranean mussel). The record is from RNAcentral. Lineage: Eukaryota; Metazoa; Mollusca; Bivalvia; Mytilida; Mytilidae.